Molecule: ribosomal RNA, 252 nt
Filed under: uncultured Oscillospiraceae bacterium
Lineage: Bacteria; Bacillati; Bacillota; Clostridia; Eubacteriales; Oscillospiraceae
Description: partial 16S ribosomal RNA
Rfam family: Bacterial small subunit ribosomal RNA
Source: RNAcentral
UACGUAGGGGGCAAGCGUUGUCCGGAAUUACUGGGUGUAAAGGGAGCGUAGGCGGGGAUGCAAGUUGGGUGUUAAAUCUACCGGCUCAACUGGUAGUCGCACUCAAAACUGCAGCUCUUGAGUGAAGUAGAGGCAGGCGGAAUUCCUAGUGUAGCGGUGAAAUGCGUAGAUAUUAGGAGGAACACCGGUGGCGAAGGCGGCUUACUGGACCGUAACUGACGUUGAGGCUCGAAAGCGUGGGUAUCGAACAGG